GGGGAUGAUCGGUUUCGACAUCGCCUGCGAAACCGCGAGAAGCGGGCCGAGGAUGCAGGGUUAUCUCGUAAACGAUCUCUGCGAAACAAUAACUGCCAAUAAGAAGCAGAUCGACUUCGCUCUCGCUGCGUAAGCAGUAGAGCCACAAGUCCGUCAGUCCGGGUUCGUUCCCGCCCCGGUCACUGGCGUCAUUUAGGGGACUUGCUGCGCACCGGCGCCUGAACGGUGCGUGGGACUUCUUCAGGCUGGGCCCGUCGACUCAGAUGCCUGUCGCAAGAGUCGGGGCCGACGAGAACGCUUGACAGGAUGCGCCCGGAGAAGGCGUGGAAUCACAGCGAUGGACGGGGGUUCGAUUCCCCCCAUCUCCACCC
Molecule: transfer-messenger RNA, 371 nt
Filed under: Agromyces protaetiae
Lineage: Bacteria; Bacillati; Actinomycetota; Actinomycetes; Micrococcales; Microbacteriaceae
Description: Standard tmRNA
Rfam family: transfer-messenger RNA
About the family: Bacterial tmRNA, also known as 10Sa RNA or SsrA, is named for its dual tRNA and mRNA-like properties.
Source: Rfam by way of RNAcentral